Molecule: non-coding RNA, 2234 nt
Organism: Camellia sinensis
Lineage: Eukaryota; Viridiplantae; Streptophyta; Magnoliopsida; Ericales; Theaceae
Source: RefSeq, a predicted model, not a curated record
GCCUCGAAUGAGCUCUGUGAUGCGUGUGGAUCUCUCUCUCCUCUCAUCUAUCUCUCUCUCUCCUCUCAUCCAUCUCUCUCUCUCUUAGUCAAACCCCAAAACAAUCUCACUCUACUCUAUUCAAAUCCAAAUUUGGGAUUCCCUCUCUCUCCCUCUACUCUGUUGAAACCCAAACACUGUUUUAGUCUAGUAAACAAGAGCAAAAUCAGCCAACCCAUCGGCGACAGUGGAGGGCUUCCGGCGUUUUCCGGCUUUCCUUCUUUGCAUUGACAAGUUGCAAAGUUACCCAAGCCCUAGAUCCUCAAAUCUCCUCCAUUGACAGCCGAGAAAAGUGAAAAGAUCAAAUGGGCUCAAUGUGAAGACUGUUUUAAGUCGCGCAAAGUUCCUGCCGAUGCUUUUCUUUCCUCAAGAUGGACCUGUUCUGAAAACUGGUGGGAUCUAGAAAGGGACAGGGAAAAACCCACAAAAUACACAAAGGACAGUGGCUAUUGUGGUGGGAGGAGUGGCUGGUUUUGGGCUUGGAAUUGCCUGCUUGUUGUUUCUAAAAUCAGCUUUUAAGAAGCGAGAAAACAAGUAUGGAGGAUGAUGAUGAGGUUAGUUUCCAACCUUUUACUACUCUGUUUUCUGUUUUUUUUCUCUGUUUUUUUAAUUUUCAAAAUGAAAAUAUUCCUCUUGCUAUGAAGAAUUUAUUAAAUUUUUUUUUUACAGUUUGGUAUUUUUGUGUGUGUGUGUGUGUGUGUGUGUGUGUGUGUUGUGUGUGUGCAGGGUGAGACUACUACUAUUAUGUGCUUAGCUGCUAAGUUGGAGGGGUGUAAUGUAAAAGAGAGAAGUUUUACUUUUUUGACUCUGUUUUGCAUUCAGAUAUUUCUUCUCCACCUAGUUCCUUUUUCAUUAGUUUUCUUUCUUUUAAACCAAACAGCCCUAUCUGUCUAAAAAAAUACACAUUUUAGUCAUAGUUGGCCUUUUUCUUUUGAAUGUACAUGCACAGAUUGAAAUAUAUAUAUAUAUAUAUAUAUCUAUUUGUGAAUAGUAGCUUUUAGUUGGCAUUAAAGGUUUGUUCUCCACUUUACUACAUAAAGAGCAAUUAUUAGGUAAUUAAACACACAUGUUCAAGUGAAAUUGUGUUGCCAAGUGAUAGUCAAUAAAAAACCUUCGUUUUUACCAGUUACUCUAGUGACUAAUCUCCAAAAAAUUAGGUUUACUCUUGCAAAGAAGCAGGAGCAUAUUAGGUAAUUAAAAAUCUAUUGUACCUUUUACCUUUUACAUUGGUUUGGUCAUAUCAUGUAUUUAGUUCUCAAUCUCAUCAAGUAAUUAAAAUUUGAACUCUGGUAUAUGGAUUUAUCGGAUCCAUUCUGUUUUUGAUGAUCUUGGGUCCAGAGCUCUUCCAACUUUCCUCAAUUCCACCAUGAAUGCUAUUGAGGGAAUCAUUGGAAUGGUUGGGCUUUCUUGAUCUAAGAAAAGGGUUAUCAAGAUACUUCACGAUGUCAAUGGAAUCAUAAAACCAUCUAGAUGGGUAGCUGUACGUGCAGCUGUUGCUAUGGGUGAGGAAGGCGAUAUGGUUGUGGCUGCUCAAAACAAUGAUCCUCAAAUGACAGUUUAUUGAGCGUGAAUUUCUAGCUGAGCAGGUGGAAGCAAUUAAGAAAAUUGCAGACUUUGUCACUCAGUUGAGACUGGUUGGAAAAGGACAUGGAUGAAUCUGUACUAAUAUGGUUCUCGGGGAAAGAGGAGAAACACCUCAAACUAAGUCACAUGUCUAAAAUCAUUUCAGGGCAGCGCACUAUUGGAAAGGUGGUAGAUGAACAACUUAUCGAACAAGGAUGAUGCAUCAAAGAACCUAGUGACUAAGUUACACUCUGCUAAAGCUAAGCUUGAUUUGGUGACUCAAACAAAAUCCAAAUUUGUUUUGGAGAAUAGCAAGGUUCAUGUAUUAAAUUCUGAUUUCUAUAGCUUGAGUGGAUGUACAUAGAUACUAAGGGUAGAGGUUUAUUUUUUUACUGUUUAUUUUUUUACUGACCUUCAAGUGUUUUGAAUUGCUUGAAGAGUUAGUGUUGUUGUUCAGAGAGAACUUCAAACUCGAGUCUGAUCGCUCUUGCAUACAUCUGGAGUUCGAUAUAUUGUUUACUUUUAUUUUUGGUUGUGCUUGUUGUUUGAUUUUGGUUUAGAAAUAAUCAUAUAAUGUUUUUAGUCAAUAUAUUGAAAUAGCAGUAAAGUUUUAUCCAUAUUAUUACUAAUUU